GACGAACGCUGGCGGCGUGCUUAACACAUGCCAGUCGAACGGAAAGGCCCUGCUUUUGUGGGGUGCUCGAGUGGCGAACGGGUGAGUAACACGUGAGUAACCUGCCCUUGACUUUGGGAUACCUUCAGGAAACUGGGGCUAAUCCCGGAUAGGAGCUCCUGCUGCAAGGUGGGGGUUGGAAAGCUUGGGCGGUUGGGGAUGGACUCGCGGCUUAUCAGCUUGUUGGUGGGGUAGUGGCUUACCAAGGCUUUGACGGGUAGCCGGCCUGAGAGGGUGACCUGCCACAUUGGGACUGAGAUACGGCCCAGACUCCUACGGGAGGCAGCAGUGGGGAAUAGUGCACUAUGGGCGGAAGCCUAGUGCAGCAACGCCGCGUGCGGGAUGUCGGGCUGCGGGUUGUAAACCGCUUUCGCCUGUGACGAAGCGUGAGUGACGGUAAUGGGUAAAGAAGCACCGGCUAACUACGUG
This 468-nucleotide ribosomal RNA is filed under the name uncultured bacterium. RNAcentral describes it as "partial 16S ribosomal RNA". It matches the Rfam family "Bacterial small subunit ribosomal RNA", at positions 28 to 507 of the family's 1533-position model. The record is from RNAcentral.